GACGAACGCUGGCGGCGUGCUUAACACAUGCAAGUCGAACGGAAAGGCCCUGCUUUUGUGGGGUGCUCGAGUGGCGAACGGGUGAGUAACACGUGAGUAACCUGCCCUUGACUUUGGGAUAACUUCAGGAAACUGGGGCUAAUACCGGAUAGGAGCUCCUGCUGCACGGUGGGGGUUGGAAAGUUUCGGCGGUUGGGGAUGGGCUCGCGGCUUAUCAGCUUGUUGGUGGGGUAGUGGCUUACCAAGGCUUUGACGGGUAGCCGGCCUGAGAGGGUGACCGGUCACAUUGGGACUGAGAUACGGCCCAGACUCCUACGGGAGGCAGCAGUGGGGAAUAUUGCACAAUGGGCGGAAGCCUGAUGCAGCAACGCCGCGUGCGGGAUGACGGCCUUCGGGUUGUAAACCGCUUUCGCCUGUGACGAAGCGUGAGUGACGGUAAUGGGUAAAGAAGCACCGGCUAACUACGUG
This 468-nucleotide ribosomal RNA is filed under the name uncultured bacterium. RNAcentral's name for it is "partial 16S ribosomal RNA". It matches the Rfam family "Bacterial small subunit ribosomal RNA", at positions 28 to 507 of the family's 1533-position model. The record is from RNAcentral.